GACGAACGCUGGCGGCGUGCUUAACACAUGCAAGUCGAACGGUGAAGGGACCGGUUUUUGCUGGUUCUGGAUGAGUGGCGAACGGGUGAGUAACACGUGAGUGACCUGCCCCCUUCUUCUGGAUAACCGCAUGAAAGUGUGGCUAAUACGGGAUAUUCUGCGCCUGCUGCAUGGUGGGUGUGGGAAAGAUAUUGUUUCGGUGGGGGAUGGGCUCGCGGCCUAUCAGCUUGUUGGUGGGGUGAUGGCCUACCAAGGCGGUGACGGGUAGCCGGCCUGAGAGGGUGGACGGUCACACUGGGACUGAGACACGGCCCAGACUCCUACGGGAGGCAGCAGUGGGGAAUAUUGCACAAUGGGCGCAAGCCUGAUGCAGCGACGCCGGGUGAGGGAUGGAGGCCUUCGGGUUGUAAACCUCUUUCGCCAGUGAAGCAGGCCUGUCCCUUUUGUGGGUGGGUUGACGGUAGCUGGAUAAGAAGCGCCGGCUAACUACGUG
This 493-nucleotide ribosomal RNA is filed under the name uncultured bacterium. Its description in RNAcentral is "partial 16S ribosomal RNA". It matches the Rfam family "Bacterial small subunit ribosomal RNA", at positions 28 to 507 of the family's 1533-position model. The record is from RNAcentral.